RNAcentral lists this unclassified non-coding RNA (305 nucleotides) under plant metagenome. RNAcentral describes it as "partial contains 5.8S ribosomal RNA, internal transcribed spacer 2, and large subunit ribosomal RNA". The stretch from base 1 to 105 matches the Rfam family "5.8S ribosomal RNA", at positions 50 to 154 of the family's 154-position model. The record is from RNAcentral.
GAAAUGCGAUAAGUAAUGUGAAUUGCAGAAUUCAGUGAAUCAUCGAAUCUUUGAACGCACAUUGCGCCCGCCAGUAUUCUGGCGGGCAUGCCUGUUCGAGCGUCAUUUCAACCAUCAAGCCCCCGGCUUGUGAUGGGGACCUGCGGCUGCCCGCAGGCCCUGAAAAACAGUGGCGGGCUCGCUGUCACACCGAGCGUAGUAGCAUACAUUCUCGCUCAGGGCGUGCUGCGGGUUCCGGCCGUUAAACGACCUUCAUAACCCAAGGUUGACCUCGGAUCAGGUAGGAAGACCCGCUGAACUUAAGC